UGAGGAAUCUUGCGCAAUGGGGGAAACCCUGACGCAGCAACGCCGCGUGAGUGAGGAAGGCCUUCGGGUCGUAAAGCUCUGUCAGAUGGGAAGAAAUGGGUGGGGGCUAAUAUCGUCCAUCCUUGACGGUACCAUCAGAGGAAGCACCGGCUAACUCCGUGCCAGCAGCCGAGGUAAUACGGGGGGUGCAAGCGUUGUUCGGAAUCAUUGGGCGUAAAGCGCGCGCAGGCGGCUUGGUAAGUCAGAUGUGAAAUCCCUGGGCUUAACCCAGGAAGUGCAUGUGAUACUGCCUCGCUAGAGUACGGGAGAGGAAAGGGGAAUUCCUGGUGUAGAGGUGAAAUUCGUAGAUAUCAGGAGGAACACCGGUGGCGAAGGCGACUUUCUGGCCCGAUACUGACGCUCAGGCGCGAAAGCGUGGGGAGCAAACA
This 428-nucleotide ribosomal RNA is filed under the name uncultured prokaryote. Its description in RNAcentral is "bacterial SSU rRNA". It matches the Rfam family "Bacterial small subunit ribosomal RNA", at positions 355 to 774 of the family's 1533-position model. The record is from RNAcentral.